Molecule: ribosomal RNA, 494 nt
Filed under: uncultured bacterium
Lineage: Bacteria
Description: bacterial SSU rRNA
Rfam family: Bacterial small subunit ribosomal RNA
Source: RNAcentral
UCAGGAUGAACGCUGGCGGCGUGCUUAACACAUGCAAGUCGAACGAAGCAGUUAUCACGAUCCUUCGGGGUGACGAUUACUGACUGAGUGGCGGACGGGUGAGUAACGCGUGGGUAACCUGCCUUGUACAGGGGGACAACAGUUGGAAACGACUGCUAAUACCGCAUAAGCGCACAGUGUUGCAUGACACAGUGUGAAAAGAUUUAUCGGUACAAGAUGGACCCCGCGUCUGAUUAGCUAGUUGGUGAGGUAACGGCCCACCAAGGCGACGAUCAGUAGCCGACCUGAGAGGGUGACCGGCCACAUUGGGACUGAGACACGGCCCAAACUCCUACGGGAGGCAGCAGUGGGGAAUAUUGCACAAUGGGCGAAAGCCUGAUGCAGCCGACGCCGCGUGAGCGAAGAAGUAUUUCGGUAUGUAAAGCUCUAUCAGCAGGGAAGAUAAUGACGGUACCUGACUAAGAAGCACCGGCUAAAUACGUGCCAGCAGCGGC